Molecule: long non-coding RNA, 1008 nt
Filed under: Anas platyrhynchos platyrhynchos (common mallard)
Lineage: Eukaryota; Metazoa; Chordata; Aves; Anseriformes; Anatidae
Description: lncRNA (ENSAPLG00000020388.1)
Source: RNAcentral
CACGUGAGGUUUGGAAUUGGCACACAGGAAAAGGGCCAGAUUUUCGCUCCUAGAGGAUGAGGAGGGAGCAUGAUUAAAGCAGCAAAUUAGAAAAGAUAAAUAGGUGCAGGCUAAGUAAAAUGUUGUUGAGCUGGGGAGAGAAGCUAUGCUGUUUUCUUUAUUCAAAUUAUCUCUCUUAAGAUCUCUUGGAGUCAAGCAUAGAAGUAUCAGCAGGACCCUCCUCCGCAGCCAGGCAAUGGCUUCCGAGCAGCUGGCAUGCAGCAACCCCUGCGAGGCGAAGUGUCCUCAGCCCCUGGCUGCCAGCAGCAACGAGCCCUGCGUGGUUGCCUGCGGUGACUCCCGGGUGAUCAUCUACCCACCACCCGUCGUCGUCACCUUCCCAGGGCCCAUCCUCACCACCUACCCCCAGCAAACAGUGGUUAUCGCUCGCCCAGAGCCUCGGUGCGCUCCUAAAUACUCCUACACAUAUUCUUCCCAAUGGACACAUCCAUGCAACUUGUACCGCUCUGGAAAACGGUGGACAUACUGAGCUGGGAUGUGAAGCGGCUUCAGGUAGCUCAAGCCCCUGGCAAUGCAGGAGGGCUGAGCGGCCAGGCAGGAGCUCAGCAUUGGGCAUCGCCUGGCUCCAGCUGGAGGAGAGCUGUGAACACUCAGCACCUGUGAGAGGCAGCUCAUGUGUGCAGUUUCUCCUUUUGCCUUUAGCUUAGGUUUGUUAGCCUCUGGCUUUCUGGUUUAGUCAUCUGCUUACAUUGUGCUUUGUUUACUUCAGUUACGUUAUUGACACUGAGUCUAGAGAGGUGACUUAGGAUGCUAGAAAUUGCACACAUCAACUGCACCGAAGGAAAAAAAAAAUAUAUAGGCUGCAUCACUUUGGUCCUGGUGAUAAACCAGACCACAGUGAACCCCCAGAAAGAUAAUCUUUAUAUUAUGUACAAUUUUGUUCCAGAAUUGUAGAAAAGCUGUCUCCUUCCAAAUAAAUUUUCUAUACCAAACUAUGACUUUUGGUUU